GGCUCAGAGUGAACGCUGGCGGCGUGCUUAACACAUGCAAGUCGAACGAUGAAGCUCUAGCUUGCUAGAGUGGAUUAGUGGCGCACGGGUGAGUAAUGUAUAGCUAAUGUGCCCCUUAGAGGGGGAUAACAGUUGGAAACGACUGCUAAUACCCCAUACUCCUUCUUCCUAUAAGGGAAGUUGGGAAAGUUUUUUCGCUAAGGGAUCGGGCUAUAUGGUAUCAGCUUGUUGGUGAGGUAAUGGCUCACCAAGGCUAUGACGCCUAUCUGGUCUGAGAGGAUGAUCAGACACACUGGAACUGAGACGCGGUCCAGACUCCUACGGGAGGCAGCAGUGGGGAAUAUUACACGAAUGGAGGAAACUCUGAUGUAGCAACGCCGCGUGGAGGAUGACACAUUUCGGUGCGUAAACUCCUUUUAUAUGGGAAGAUAAUGA
This 435-nucleotide ribosomal RNA is filed under the name uncultured Campylobacterota bacterium. Its description in RNAcentral is "bacterial SSU rRNA". It matches the Rfam family "Bacterial small subunit ribosomal RNA", at positions 21 to 454 of the family's 1533-position model. The record is from RNAcentral. Lineage: Bacteria; Pseudomonadati; Campylobacterota.